RNAcentral lists this ribosomal RNA (515 nucleotides) under uncultured bacterium. RNAcentral's name for it is "partial 16S ribosomal RNA". It matches the Rfam family "Bacterial small subunit ribosomal RNA", at positions 28 to 523 of the family's 1533-position model. The record is from RNAcentral.
GAUGAACGCUGGCGGCGUGCCUAAUACAUGCAAGUCGAGCGAAUGGAUUAAGAGCUUGCUCUUAUGAAGUUAGCGGCGGACGGGUGAGUAACACGUGGGUAACCUGCCCAUAAGACUGGGAUAACUCCGGGAAACCGGGGCUAAUACCGGAUAACAUUUUGAACCGCAUGGUUCGAAAUUGAAAGGCGGCUUCGGCUGUCACUUAUGGAUGGACCCGCGUCGCAUUAGCUAGUUGGUGAGGUAACGGCUCACCAAGGCAACGACGCGUAGCCGACCUGGGAGGGUGAGCGGCCACACUGGGACUGAGAAACGGCCCAGACUCCUAGGGGAGGCAGCAGUAGGGAAUCUUCCGCAAUGGACGAAAGUCUGACGGAGCAACGCCGCGUGAGUGAUGAAGGCUUUCGGGUCGUAAAACUCUGUUGUUAGGGAAGAACAAGUGCUAGUUGAAUAAGCUGGCACCUUGACGGUACCUAACCAGAAAGCCACGGCUAACUACGUGCCAGCAGCCGCGGUAA